Molecule: unclassified non-coding RNA, 3312 nt
Filed under: Polistes fuscatus (common paper wasp)
Lineage: Eukaryota; Metazoa; Arthropoda; Insecta; Hymenoptera; Vespidae
Description: transcription factor Sox-2-like, transcript variant X6
Source: RNAcentral
AGACCGACGGGUAGCCGAUCUCGUGGCGCGCACAGUGGCAAGAAGAAGAUAGGGGAAGUUCAUAUGACGAUGAGUGAAAGAGCGAGAGAGAAAGAAAGAGUGAAUAAGGUUGCGAAUAAGAGGUGGGGGUAGCAUAAGAGGGAAGGUUCAGCUUGCUCGGUAGAGGUCGCUAGGGAGGCCGGUAGAGCCCGCCCACUGAAACGGAGAUAUAGGAGCCGAUUGGUCGAGAGAAAUGAUGGCAGGCGCGCGUGCCAAUCGAUAGCCGUCGGUAGACUCGCUCCUUCGGCUAUGGUCGCGCCGAUCCUGCAGGAGUGGGGAUAUCCUCGCGCACUGGUGGGAGAGACCGCGCGGUGGGGCUCAAGCUGCCAAACCGUUUUGCCUAAGGGUAGGGGAAGGCAAGAGAAGCCGGAGUAGUGGUGGAAGCAGCCGCCUUGGCAGGAAGUGAGCCCCGAGUGUUAGAGCCCAAGGCGAAACUUCGAAUGCUCAGAUGGUUCUGUCCUUUCGAAGAGAACGGUAGUCAAUCUCUUCGUUACUUGUGUACCUUAAAGACGUGUAAGAGUUACGGAAGAGAAAAGACGUGUGCAUCCAUUCACGCGCAUUUCCUAUACGCAUCGUAAACGGAUAUACGGAUAAGUAAUAUACGCAUAAGAAAGUAGAGGGAAACAAGAGUGGAAAGGAAAGAAGAAAUAGCUCGCUCUCUCUAUUUGUCUCUCAGAUUGGUAAUCAUCCUAGACUUGUGAACAGUAGAAUCAUUCGGUAUCGAGGUGUCAACAACAACGCAUCGUUCUUGUGUUGAGUACGAUUAAUAAAUUCAACGUGUUAUUUCUUUUUGGUGUUCUAAAUAGUGACAUUAGAUAGACGGUGAGUAUCUUUCUUAUUAAAUACGAGAACGCUAGCGAGAGUGAUAUAAUAAAACUUUAUAGAAGAUUAUUAUUAUUAUUAGUAGAACAAGUUUUUCACGAACGUGAUUUUGCGCGCGCGUUUAUCCUGACGUAUUAAGAGUGUGAAUUAUUUGUGAAUAUUUGUGAUUUUAUCGAAUGCUAACUCUUAUACUGAAUCAUAUAUAUCUAUAUAUGCAUGUACUUGCAUAUAUAUGCUAUUCAUGUUUGAUUAUCGGUAUUAAAAGAACAUAGACUCUUAGUGAGAUUCGACUUCGAAAAGAAGAAGAAGAAGAUUGGGUAGUGAACGAAACCGCGCUUCUAAGAUCUGAUCGGUAACGUGUCUCGUCGAGGCAUUCUUUGAUAUAAUACGGUUUAAGAAAACGGCGACAAACUGUACGGCCACAGGGAGGACGACAUGCUAACGAUGGAGACGGACCUGAAGGGCGGUAGCCUGCUUGGUCAGAUGCCACCACACCCGCAUCAAGGUGUAUCACCGAUGGGUCAUCACACCAGUGUUUCACCUUACGGACCUCUUAGUUCCAUAGUGCAUAGUCCAUCUUUAUCUGGAAGCCCACCGAGCAGCAGCAACUUAGGAUUAAGUUUGCAACAUCAACAUUACCAUGCUUCGAUGCAAGCUGCAGUGCAACAGCAACAGCAACAGCAACAACAGCAUCAUCAACAACAACAACAACAACAACAACAACAACAACAGCAGCAGCAGCAGCAGCAACAAAGCAUGCACCACCCUCUUGUUGCUCAGCAAAGUGCUGCACAACAGCAGCACCAUCCUCACCAACAACCCCAACCGCAACAGCAGCAAGCCCAAAGUCAACACCACCAAGCUGCUAAUAAUAAUAAUAAUACGACUAAGCCUCCUACCGGUGACCGAGUAAAAAGGCCGAUGAAUGCAUUUAUGGUCUGGUCCCGAGGCCAACGACGCAAGAUGGCCCAAGAAAAUCCAAAAAUGCACAAUUCUGAGAUUUCCAAACGCUUAGGGGCCGAAUGGAAAUUACUCAGCGAAACCGAGAAGCGCCCAUUUAUUGACGAAGCUAAACGAUUGCGCGCGGUGCACAUGAAAGAGCACCCAGAUUACAAGUAUCGUCCAAGAAGGAAGACGAAGACUCUUUUGAAGAAAGAUAAAUACCCGAUCAGUGGCUCCGUCGGCGCAGUAGGAGUCAAUGUUAAUAGCAUUCUCGGCGUCGAUCAACGACAAGUUGGCAGUGCUGGUGGACCCCAGCAAGGGCAGAUAUCAUCUCGCGACGUUUAUCAAAUGGCGAACGGAUAUAUGCCAAAUGGUUAUAUGAUGCACGACGCGGCGGCUUCGUAUCAACAACACGUUGUAUACGGAAAUGCAAUGGGCGGAGAGGCGGCUGCUGGAUAUCACAGAUACGCAAUGGGACAUCACAUGGGUAAUGGUAGUCCACCCAUGAACGCACCUUACAUUAAUGGAUAUGGUGGUUAUCCUGGAAGUACGGUACCCGGCGGCUCACCUUCACCGUACCAUCAACCCCAACCAGGAUCUCAAAUGUCAAGCCACAGUCCUAGUGGCAGCAGUAUAAAAUCAGAGCCGACGAGUCCUGCAAGUGCGGCGGGAAUACACACUCCCACGCCGACAAACGGACAAAUUCCCGCUAAUGCAACGGCUACUCCACAACAACAACAGCAAGCACAAGCUGCCGCCGCAGUUAAACGCGAAUACAUGGCUCAACAAAACCACCAAACUCAUCAGUCUCCAGGAGAUCUUAGGCAGAUGAUAUCCAUGUAUUUGCCGCAAGGAGUCGACCAGGGUGUUGGUGGUCAACAUGGUGCUGGAGUCUACCCGCCUGGACCAUCACCAGAUUCUUUGGCGCAACAUCAUUCAAUACCGCCAAUCAAUCAUAUGUCUGAAAGUGAUCGAAAAAUGUUGAACCCAGAAACCGGUUGUUAUUCGGAAUCCGUGCGAGCAUGCAACGUACGUGGGCUCGGAAGAAGAUACUGAGCACGACGCUACCGUCGCAUUAAUAACACUGGUAGCCGGUCAUAUGUUAAACGUCCACCGACGGUGGCCGUUCCACCAUGGAAAGAGGAAGAGAGAGAGAGAGACAGAGAUAGAGAGAGAGAGAGAGAGAGAGAGUACCUACCACUUUCCUCGCAAAGGGACAGACCUACCUUCUACCUACAGCAAUGUACUUCUUCCUGAUGACGCGCUACCGCGCUAGCCACCAUCGCGAAUAUUCUUCCUCGCUCUUUAUAUUUUUCUCAAACGAAAUUUUUCAACAACAACAACAACAAAAAAAGGUAUCAAUGCCCGGAGGAGACAUACAGGAUGCCCGUGGAUUAUUAUAGUGCGAGAUCUACUUCGUCAAGGAGAUAUUUCGUUAACGAUUAAGAUACACCCCUUCGAGUUCGACGACGAGUCCCGGAGAAGAAGAUUGAAGGAAACGAAGAUGAA